This 468-nucleotide ribosomal RNA is filed under the name uncultured bacterium. Its description in RNAcentral is "partial 16S ribosomal RNA". It matches the Rfam family "Bacterial small subunit ribosomal RNA", at positions 28 to 507 of the family's 1533-position model. The record is from RNAcentral.
GACGAACGCUGGCGGCGUGCUUAACACAUGCAAGUCGAACGGAAAGGCCCUGCUUUUGUGGGGUGCUCGAGUGGCAAACGGGUGAGUAACACGUGAGUAACCUGCCCUUGACCUUGGGAUAACUUCAGGAAACUGGGGCUAAUACCGGAUAGGAGCUCCUGCUGCAUGGUGGGGGUUGGAAAGUUUCGGCGGUUGGGGAUGGACUCGCGGCUUAUCAGCUUGUUGGUGGGGUAGUGGCUUACCAAGGCUUUGACGGGUAGCCGGCCUGAGAGGGUAACCGGCCACAUUGGGACUGAGAUACGGCCCAGACUCCUACGGGAGGCAGCAGUGGGGAAUAUUGCACAAUGGGCGGAAGCCUGAUGCAGCAACGCCGCGUGCGGGAUGACGGCCUUCGGGUUGUAAACCGCUUUCGCCUGUGACGAAGCGUGAGUGACGGUAAUGGGUAAAGAAGCACCGGCUAACUACGUG